This 253-nucleotide ribosomal RNA is filed under the name uncultured bacterium. Its description in RNAcentral is "partial 16S ribosomal RNA". It matches the Rfam family "Bacterial small subunit ribosomal RNA", at positions 524 to 776 of the family's 1533-position model. The record is from RNAcentral.
UACGGGGGGGGCAAGCGUUGUUCGGAAUUACUGGGCGUAAAGGGCUCGUAGGUGGCCAACUAAGUCAGACGUGAAAUCCCUCGGCUUAACCGGGGAACUGCGUCUGAUACUGGAUGGCUGGAGUAUGGGAGAGGGAUGCGGAAUUCCAGGUGUAGCGGUGAAAUGCGUAGAUAUCUGGAGGAACACCGGUGGCGAAGGCGGCAUCCUGGACCAUUACUGACGCUGAGGAGCGAAAGCCAGGGGAGCAAGCGGG